Molecule: long non-coding RNA, 3346 nt
Organism: Anopheles gambiae (African malaria mosquito)
Lineage: Eukaryota; Metazoa; Arthropoda; Insecta; Diptera; Culicidae
Exons: 2
Source: RefSeq, a predicted model, not a curated record
UUCUGUUCUGUACUGUACUGUACUGUCGUACUCCAAAUUUUUAAACUUUGUAGUACUUACAUCAUAAUUAGUACAGGUCCCCGAGAAAACAGGACCUCUACUCAAUAUUGUUAAGGUGUCAAUUCAAGUAUCGAACUAUCCAUACGUAAACACAACAACUAUGUGUAAACGCGGCCUCAUGAACUUUGUAUAUAUAUACACUUGGAUUUCAAUAAAACUGUGUAGUCGCAUGCUAGCUGUUCUCGGUGUCACUUCAUUUCGAUCACAUAUCACAACAAAUAUCGAAUAAAAAAAAAUAUUUUAAAAUUAAAUGCUACAUUACACGAACAUUUGUUAUAUCUUGACUGAAAACUGCGUGAUUUGACUUCCUGAAUUAGAGAUAGCGGGUUUCUCUCGACCUCAAUUAAUAGUGUAUCUCGGGCCUGAUAGCCUCUAAUUUCAAUCGCAAUCCCAAUUCCAAUCGAAUCGCAAUCAGAAUCCCACUCGGAAUUCCAAUCGAAUCGCAAUCCCAAUCAUAAUCCUAAUCGAAACGCAAUACCAAUCGAAUCCCAAUCUUUCGAAUCCUAAUCGAAUCGCAAUCCCAAUCAGAAUCCCAAUCGAAUCCCAAACGAAUCCCAAUCCCAGUCGAUUCGCAAACGAAUACCAAUCUUAAUCGAAUCGCAAACUGUUAAAGUGAGCAACCUCUGCUUAACUAUUGCUUAUUCGGAUGUCACUUUGACAUUUGGACUUUGUUCAUUGGGAACGCAUUUCUCUCUUUUAGGUUGGCAGUCAUGCCGUUAAUCUUGAUUCAUUGAACUUAUUCUUUCCUGUAAUUUUGUAGCGACAAGUCGCAUAUCGUUUUUGCUUCAAUAAAUACAUUUUUACAAACAAAUCCCCAUCCCAAUCGAAUCGCAAUCAAAUUCCAAACGCAAAGGAAUCUUUUAGGGAUUCAAAUCCUACAAACGGGAUCCGAUCCGAUCGAAUCUUUCUAGAGAUUGAAUCUUCGAAUCUUCCGAAUCCUGAAUCUCCAAACACUAACACACACGCACAUUCACACCCAUGCGCAGAUGGUUCAGCAUAUCUGUGUAAUCUACACUAUGAUAUAGAAAUGAUAACCACACCGUUUGGUUGUCUUCUGUCUAACGCCCGUUUAUUUCUCUUUCAAGCGGUUUGUCGCUUUGACAGAUUGGCGUUGUCGAAGCUGCCUGAACCUGCACGUCACUGAUUGAAGUGCAGGGCUGCCUAACACCACAUACACCAUACGAAAGCAAAAGCUUAGUGUAACAAAGUCAUGCUUAAUGCUUAGCACGUUCAGUUCGAUGGCAGGCCCCAGGGACUGCGAGACUAUCCAGUAUGCCGGUUUCACAUUCUGUUGUAUAUUUCGGGACAAUCCGCGUGCUUUAUUGUUGCGUUCACAAGACAAAGUGAGGCUCAAAGUGGGUUUAUUAUACAGGUGGGCUUAUCCCGAACAAAUUGACAGCCGUACUGUAGAAAAAUGAAAACGAAAUGACAGGAGGGGAUUCGAUCAUUUGUUGAUGUAUGCGUGUGAACUCCAAUGGCUAUUUUGGAUUAUGUGUCGUAGUGUGGGUGAAAAACUACGUAUCACAAUCGAAUCCCCUCCUGUCAUUCGUUCGUCCAAUAUGGCCUUCCCGCCAAACCUAUAAGCCCACCUAGUCCCUAUACCCACUUUGGUGAGGCUAACACUGCUUCUAGACGACCAACUUUUGUACAGCGACAAUUUUUGGCGACAAUUUUUUGACAGGUCUUUGUUCUAAACCUGCUGUCAAAACCUAUCGUUUUUAGUACACAUCCGGCAGCCCGCGAGUGUCGCAGAGUUGUGAAAAUUUCACAAAAUCUCUAUUCAUUUUUUGCGCGUAACGUCAGUUUGGAAAAGUUGCCUGUGGUUGUGCCGAACAAUAUGAAUAAAUAUACUGUAAGUACACGAAACAAACAAUCAAAACAAUAUCAAUAAGUGGACUUUGUUUAUUUACUCGUUUGUUUCGUUUUUAGGGUGCAAACAUGUCUCAGGAAGACUCUUUGUUCUUCAUUCAGCAAGUACAAAUGCGUGAAUGCUUAUGGAACCGACGUGAUAUACACUAUAAAAAUAAAAUAAAACAGGCCGACGCAUGGGCUUCAAUUGGAGAAUUAAUGGGAAAAGAUCCAUUUGAGCUGCGGCAGAAGUGGCAAUCUCUGCAAAGCUCGUUCCGACACUUCAAGGGUGUUUACAAAAGCAGCGAACAAACGGGAUCUGCUGCGCAACCCAAUAGAAAAAAAUGGUUUGCAUAUGAUGCAAUGAGUUUCAUGUCGGUGACCAACGAAUGUGGAACUACAGUAGAUACGUUGGUAUGUAUAUAAAAUCAAUCUGGUAUUUAUUUUAAAAAAGAAGGCAGAUCUAAGCAGAGAGAGCUUUUUCAUAGGUUAACGCAAAGUCCAUAUAAUACAGAGGUCGAUGCAUAGCUCGAUUUUGGUCCACCAUUUUGAAAGCUUAUUUUUGACAGUUAGAUGAAAAAGCGUUCACAAACGAUUCCAAACAACCAUACACUUUUUAGGGCUAAUUGUGCAUUUUGUGCUCAAGACUUAGUUUAACUAUACAUUUCUUUCUCAUGAGUAGUUUUUUCAGUAAUUCAUCACUUAAAAAUGACCACAAUCUGAAAUCUGGCCUCUUAGCUUUGACCCUCUUGAGCUGCACAAGAUUUCGUCGUAAUUUCGGGCGCUGAUCUUGUUGUAAUUGAUAAUUUCACUAUAAUUAUAUCUUUUCUUGAUAUUCGUCAACUUUUUAAAGUACAAUAUUACAAACAAACGAUGUAAAAAUGGCCGAAAAUGCUUUCAGACCACUGCUUGCACAACAACUAAAACCUCAAUGUAUGCUACGAUGAAACCAUUGAAGCUUUUUCAUCCAGCUGUCAAAACUUUCCCACGCUUUUUGAUCAAAUGUUCUGGACGACUCGACCUCUGUAUUAUAUAGACUUUGGGUUAACGGAUAGGCUGAAUCGUUCUAGAUAUGCUCAUACUUUUACACUUACAUUUCACGGUGUGAUGUUAUCCUUUCUCCCUCUCCAUUCGUCGUAACUAAGCAGGCGGAUUAGUAGUAUUUGCUACGGGUAAACGAUCCGAAUGAGGCUAUGUCCGAAAUCACGACGGGUAUGUUCUUAAGGCGAGGAAUCGUUUAUCUUAUUGGUAUACACUUGCUGUAUGUUGUGAAUUUAUAUAUUUAUUUUAUUACUCAAGUAGGGACAGUCCAGCAAAGAGGCGUAAGGGAAUAGUAGCCCGUGUUGGUACUAUGAUAUCUAUUGAACGCACGGCACGUUAUGAAAAAUAUUACAACUCAGAAUAAAUUCCAAUAAACCCCAAAAAGAUCCUUCGAAAA